UGGUCUGUCUUGGAUUCCCCUGA
This 23-nucleotide non-coding RNA is filed under the name Mus musculus (house mouse). Lineage: Eukaryota; Metazoa; Chordata; Mammalia; Rodentia; Muridae. The record is from RNAcentral.